This 440-nucleotide ribosomal RNA is filed under the name uncultured bacterium. Its description in RNAcentral is "partial 16S ribosomal RNA". It matches the Rfam family "Bacterial small subunit ribosomal RNA", at positions 338 to 795 of the family's 1533-position model. The record is from RNAcentral.
CCUACGGGAGGCAGCAGUGGGGAAUAUUGCACAAUGGGGGAAACCCUGAUGCAGCGACGCCGCGUGAGUGAAGAAGUAUCUCGGUACGUAAAGCUCUAUCAGCAGGGAAGAAAAUGACGGUACCUGACUAAGAAGCCCCGGCUAACUACGUUCCAGCAGCCGCGGUAAUACGUAGGGGGCAAGCGUUAUCCGGAUUUACUGGGUGUAAGGGGAGCGUAGACGGCAGCACAAGUCUGGAGUGAAAUCCCGGGGCUUAACCCCGGAACUGCUUUGGAAACUGUGCGGCUGGAGUGCAGGAGGGGUAAGCGGAAUGCCUAGUGUAGCGGUGAAAUGCGUAGAUAUUAGGAGGAACACCAGUGGCGAAGGCGGUCUGCUGGACGACAACUGACGGUGAGGCGCGAAAGCGUGGGGAGCAAACAGGAUUAGAUACCCGAGUAGUC